GACCAGACUGAAGUGCGGACAUGCGUUUAUGCUAAUGUUGCGGUAAAGUAAGUUUAUAGGCUUAUAAAUCCAAACAAGUCUGCAGAUACCAGUACAUUUUUAUACGUUUAUGUAUAAAGCAUGUAUAAAUCUAUGCUGUUAGCACUGCGCCAUCCCAUAAUCUGGCAUACGCUAGCGUUAUUUGGUAGAAUUUGUCUUUUUUUUUUCUCUCUUUCUCGUUCCUCUUUUAACGACACCCACUUUCUCUCCUCCAUAUUUCAGGUCCGCUCCCUGAAGCAAAGCCUCUCCUCCUGACUUUCCGGAAGCUUCUGUACUGGACAGAGGAGACAUCUGCAACAUGUUCAGCACCAAAAGGUCCGCUCCCUGAAGCAAAGCCUCUCCUCCUGACUUUCCGGAAGCUUCUGUACUGGACAGAGGAGACAUCUGCAACAUGUUCAGCACCAAAAGUUGAUUUCCGAUCGUGAUAACAUCGGUGGGGAAGUAAUCGCCGGGUCAUUCAGUGGCUUCUGUUCUGUUGAGUACAUUUCUUUUCAUUAAUGUCUUUUAUUAGAUUUUUUUAUUUUAAAAAAUCGUUCACUGUCAUCUGUACAGAGUGUAAGCACCCUUUUCUGUUUUGAUGAUGACGUGACUGCACAGGAGCUUCAUGGGUAUUGAACAAAAAAAGAUUUUAUUAUUAUUAUUAUUUUUUUAAAGACAUGUCAAAGCGUAUUAUUGGCAGAAAAAACCUCAUUUCGGACUUAAGCUGAUUUUUCAUCAUCACUCAGAUUUGAGUGAUCUUAAUUGAUCUACUAAUCCAGCCUCGACCUGGUAAAGACAGUCAUUCUCGUUCUAAGAUGUUUGUGUCUCCUACAUGCUGCAUGUAAGAG
Ictalurus punctatus (channel catfish) is the source of this 866-nucleotide long non-coding RNA. Lineage: Eukaryota; Metazoa; Chordata; Actinopteri; Siluriformes; Ictaluridae. The record is from Ensembl.